This 460-nucleotide ribosomal RNA is filed under the name uncultured bacterium. RNAcentral describes it as "partial 16S ribosomal RNA". It matches the Rfam family "Bacterial small subunit ribosomal RNA", at positions 338 to 795 of the family's 1533-position model. The record is from RNAcentral.
CCUACGGGUGGCAGCAGUGAGGAAUAUUGGUCAAUGGGCGUGAGCCUGAACCAGCCAAGUAGCGUGAAGGAUGACUGCCCUAUGGGUUGUAAACCUCUUUUAUAAAGGAAUAAAGUGAGGCACGUGUGCCGUUUUGUAUGUACUUUAUGAAUAAGGAUCGGCUAACUCCGUGCCAGCAGCCGCGGUAAUACGGAGGAUCCGAGCGUUAUCCGGAUUUAUUGGGUUUAAAGGGUGCGUAGGUGGGUUGUUAAGUCAGUUGUGAAAGUUUGCGGCUCAACCGUAAAAUUGCAGUUGAAACUGGCAGUCUUGAGUACGGUUGAGGUAUGCGGAAUGCGUGGUGUAGCGGUGAAAUGCUUAGAUAUCACGCAGAACUCCGAUUGCGAAGGCAGCUUACCAAGCCGCGACUGACGUUGAUGCACGAAAGUGUGGGUAUCAAACAGGAUUAGAUACCCGUGUAGUC